GCCCAACGGCUGAGUUGCAACACAAUCGAAUUGCGGGGAAGUCCUAAAGCCUCAGGGUACUAACCUGCUGUAGGAAUGCAGCAGGGGCCUGUGUUAAUCGCACAGGGUAUAGUAACAACCCCGGAGGAUCUAGCCAGGUGUGCUAGAAUGGACGAUCCGCAGCGAAGCCCCCUAGACCAGGGGAACGUUCACAGACUAAGUGGUUGUGGGUAGGAGGGACUCCUGCUUAAGAUAUAGUCGGGCCGGCGCGGAAACGCGCUGGGGAUUCGCAAGAACGUAAACCGCUCCGUAGGUGAACCUGCGGAGGGAUC
This 311-nucleotide non-coding RNA is filed under the name Pezicula cinnamomea. RNAcentral describes it as "partial 18S ribosomal RNA". The stretch from base 4 to 261 matches the Rfam family "Group I catalytic intron". From Rfam's summary of the family: Group I catalytic introns are large self-splicing ribozymes. The record is from RNAcentral. Lineage: Eukaryota; Fungi; Ascomycota; Leotiomycetes; Helotiales; Dermateaceae.